AAAAACAAAGGCUAUCAUUCUGCUGCUAUUAACUAGCCUGGGUUGAUCUCAAAAAACUAAGCAGGGUGAGAUCCAGUUAGUAUUGGGAGGGAAGACCACUAGGAAAUCCCAGGGCUGUAUAUU
RNAcentral lists this ribosomal RNA (123 nucleotides) under Notechis scutatus (mainland tiger snake). The record is from RNAcentral. Lineage: Eukaryota; Metazoa; Chordata; Lepidosauria; Squamata; Elapidae.